UUUGGUUGAGGGGAUAAGCGGGGAUAAUGAAAGUUAUCCCCGCUAUUCCGCCAAACGGGAUGAAAAUUGGCCGGAAUAUUUUAUCCCGGUCAAACUUUGCUAUUCCCGGUUAUUCCGGGAUAGCAAGGAAUUUAUUAUUCCACCAUUUUGGUGGAAUAGCGCUAUUCCAAUGCUAAAUUUCAAACUUAAUUAAAAUUAUAAAUUGAAUUAAAACUAAACUAUAUAAAUAUAAUAUAUAUUAUAUAUUAUAAUACAUUAUUUUUAUUAUUAAAUUAUUAAUUAUACUAUAUUAAUACAUAUUAUUUAUAUUUAAAUAAUAUAAUAAAAUUUAUAAUAAAUUAUAUUUAAGUAUUAUAAUAAAUUCUUUUUAUUAAAUUUAAGUUUAAGUAGANAUCUAGCGAUUCGUCAAUCCAAACACUCUCUUAGUGUUGGAUUACAAUUAGGAGAAUGCUAACCCUGAGGCUGCGUUUGGUUGGGGGGAUAUUUCAGAACAAGGUUUUUGGAAAUUUUUUUAUUUAUAAGAGCCACAUUAUUUUGACUUAUUAAUAUUUAAUUUAGUAAAUUAAUUUAUUUUAAUACUUAAUUUAUUAAAUCAUUUUUUAUUAUUUUAUUUAAGGAUAAAUUUAUUAUUUUAUUUAAUUUUUAUCUUUCAAACCCCUUAUUCCAACAUAAACAUUCAAACACUAUCAAGAAUAUUCUUUAGGAACAAGCAAAUAACAUUCAAAUGUAAUAUACAACUUAUUCUACUUUAUACCGGAAUAUUUUUUAUUCUCGGGAACAACAAAAGUUAUUCUUCAAAAUUUAGUUUUCUAGCCAAACGCAGGCUGAGAGUUUAAAUUAUCUAGAUUUUAAUAUUUAAAAUAAAAAAAUGG
RNAcentral lists this long non-coding RNA (872 nucleotides) under Ananas comosus (pineapple). RNAcentral's name for it is "long non-coding RNA (ACOM_LNC013134)". The record is from RNAcentral. Lineage: Eukaryota; Viridiplantae; Streptophyta; Magnoliopsida; Poales; Bromeliaceae.